GACACGGCCCAGACUCGUACGGGAGGCAGCAGUGGGGAAUUUUCCGCAAUGGGCGCAAGCCUGACGGAGCAACGCCGCGUGUGGGAUGAAGGCCUGUGGGUUGUAAACCACUUUUCUCAGGGACGAACACAAUGACGGUACCUGAGGAAUCAGCCUCGGCUAACUCUGUGCCAGCAGCCGCGGUAAGACAGAGGAGGCAAGCGUUAUCCGGAAUUAUUGGGCGUAAAGCGUCCGUAGGUGGUCUAGCAAGUCUGGGGUUAAAGCCCGGAGCCCAACUCCGGAUCGGCCUUGGAAACUGCCAGACUCGAGUAAGGUAGGGGUUGCGGGAAUUCCCGGUGUAGCGGUAAAAUGCGUAGAUAUCGGGAAGAACACCAGCGGCGAAAGCGCGCAACUGGGCCAUUACUGACACUGAGGGACGAAAGCUAGGGGAGCGAAUGGGAUUAGAUACCCCAGUAGUCCUAGCCGUAAACGAUGGUGACUAGAUGUGGCUCGUAUUGACCCGAGCCGUGUCGUAGCUAACGCGAUAAGUCACCCGCCUGGGGAGUACGCACGCAAGUGUGAAACUCAAAGGAAUUGACGGGGGCCCGCACAAGCGGUGGAGCAUGUGGAUUAAUUCGAUGCAACGCGAAGAACCUUACCAGGGCUUGACAUCCUGCGAACCCCGCUGAAAGGUGGGGGUGCCUUCGGGAGCGCAGAGACAGGUGGUGCAUGGCUGUCGUCAGCUCGUGUCGUGAGAUGUUGGGUUAAGUCCCGCAACGAGCGCAACCCGCGUCCUUAGUUGCCAGCAUUUAGUUGGGCACUCUGGGGAGACUGCCGGUGACAAGCCGGAGGAAGGUGCGGAUGACGUCAAGUCAGCAUGCCCCUUACCGCCCUGGGCGUCACACGUGCUACAAUGGCCAGCACAAAGGGUAGC
RNAcentral lists this ribosomal RNA (913 nucleotides) under uncultured Cyanophyceae cyanobacterium. RNAcentral's name for it is "bacterial SSU rRNA". It matches the Rfam family "Bacterial small subunit ribosomal RNA", at positions 323 to 1250 of the family's 1533-position model. Lineage: Bacteria; Bacillati; Cyanobacteriota; Cyanophyceae. The record is from RNAcentral.